RNAcentral lists this ribosomal RNA (242 nucleotides) under uncultured bacterium. Its description in RNAcentral is "partial 16S ribosomal RNA". It matches the Rfam family "Bacterial small subunit ribosomal RNA", at positions 528 to 769 of the family's 1533-position model. The record is from RNAcentral.
UAGGGGGCAAGCGUUAUCCGGAUUUACUGGGUGUAAAGGGAGCGCAGACGGGAGAUCAAGUCAGCUGUGAAAGUUUGCGGCUCAACCGUAAAAUUGCAGUUGAUACUGGUUUCCUUGAGUGCGGUUGAGGUGUGCGGAAUUCGUGGUGUAGCGGUGAAAUGCUUAGAUAUCACGAAGAACCCCGAUUGCGAAGGCAGCACACUAAGCCGUAACUGACGUUCAUGCUCGAAAGUGUGGGGAGC